UCGGCCACUGCUCUUCUCGCCCCGUUCGCGGACCUGUGGAGCAUCCGGAGCAAUAGGAGAGUCCUCCCAGGGAAGUUCCGGAAGGAGAAUGAGGGCCAAUUAGGACAACGGAGGCACAAGAGACUGCCUAAAGGCAGGGCUAUAGGAGAGAACUCUUGAGAGAGAGGAACUAGCCCUAGCCCCUCCCUAAACGAAACAGGCCAAGCAUUGAACUCAUUAACCCACUGAUAGAUAGAGGGAUGAACCGACCAGAUUCUGCAAGGGUAGCUGUUUACCUUUCGACUCUGGAAGCCCCUUACUGGAAGAUAAAAGAUCUUGAAAGUUGAGAUCACCUUGGGCACAGGAAAAUGCGGUGGGAUUUUCCAGUCUUUUCCCCACUCCAGCUCUGUUUAUUUACAAAAUGAUAAAUUCUUUUUUAAUGCACAGGCUGGUCCCAAACUCAGGAUUUACAGAGUGAAUCCAGAUUUAAUGGAUUUACAGGUAGCCUUGGCUCACCUGGAACUCACUCUGUAGACUGUCUCUGAACUCACGGAGACCUUCCUGCCUCUGCUGGGAUUAAAGGUACGCACCACUACUCCCUAGCUUCCUUUGAUGAUUUUUUUUAAAGAUUUGUUGAUUAUGUAUAUAGUGUUCAGCCUGCUUGUAUGCCUGUAAACUAGAAGAGGGCACCAGAUCUCACUGUAGAUGGUUGUGAGCCAUUGUGUGGUUGCUGGGAAUUGAUAACCUCUGAGCCAUCCAUCUCUCCAGCU
This is a long non-coding RNA of Meriones unguiculatus (Mongolian gerbil), 749 nucleotides long. RefSeq lists it as uncharacterized. NCBI's taxonomy places the organism in Eukaryota, Metazoa, Chordata, Mammalia, Rodentia, Muridae. The transcript is spliced from 3 exons. The record is from RefSeq and is a predicted model, not a curated record.